This 99-nucleotide non-coding RNA is filed under the name Lodderomyces parapsilosis. Its description in RNAcentral is "Candida parapsilosis TPP sequence". It matches the Rfam family "TPP riboswitch aptamer (THI element)". From Rfam's summary of the family: Vitamin B(1) in its active form thiamin pyrophosphate (TPP) is an essential coenzyme that is synthesised by coupling of pyrimidine and thiazole moieties in bacteria. The previously detected thiamin-regulatory element, thi box was extended, resulting in a new, highly conserved RNA secondary structure, the THI element, which is widely distributed in eubacteria and also occurs in some archaea. Analysis of operon structures identified a large number of new candidate thiamin-regulated genes, mostly transporters, in various prokaryotic organisms. Lineage: Eukaryota; Fungi; Ascomycota; Pichiomycetes; Serinales; Debaryomycetaceae. The record is from RNAcentral. RNAcentral also lists the same sequence under 1 other name.
AAAACUAUGAGCGGGUAUCUUCAGCAAUGAAGAUUGAGAGCAAAACCGUUCGAACUCGAUCAAGUUGACACUUGCGUGAGGAUCUUAGUUUCUCCUUUC